GUAACAAAACUACAUUGACAAUUUGGCUCCUUUUAAUAUAUAUAUAUAUAUAUAUAUAUAUAUAUAUUAAAAGGAGCCAAAUUGUCAAUGUAGUUUUGUUAC
Molecule: microRNA precursor, 102 nt
Filed under: Olea europaea subsp. europaea
Lineage: Eukaryota; Viridiplantae; Streptophyta; Magnoliopsida; Lamiales; Oleaceae
Source: RNAcentral